Lucilia cuprina (Australian sheep blowfly) is the source of this 371-nucleotide long non-coding RNA. RefSeq lists it as uncharacterized. The record is from RefSeq and is a predicted model, not a curated record. NCBI's taxonomy places the organism in Eukaryota, Metazoa, Arthropoda, Insecta, Diptera, Calliphoridae. The transcript has 2 exons.
AUAAAAAUGGCGACAUAAUAUUUUUGUGAAGCCGCCGUGUUUGUUCAGAUUUUCUAAUAGAUUGUGAAAAAGAAAACAAUUUUAAUAAAAAAUAAUUAUACAAAUAAGAAAUAAUCUAUUCUUAUUCAAGUUUAUUUUUGCUGUGUGAGAAAGUUACUUAAGAAAAUUCCUAUUAUAACUUUGUAUAUUAAAAGUGAAAAAUAAAACGAAGGCGUAGAAAAACGUCUGUCUCAUACGACAUUGUGCGUAAAACCGAAGAAAGCCUAAAAAAGUGGAAAAAUGCAAUUUCAUUAAUAUUAUGUGUGACCCCGUGUAUUUUUGCAAAUGCAGUAAUCACCAUUAAAUGAAAAGAGACAAAACAAAAAAAAAAA